RNAcentral lists this ribosomal RNA (471 nucleotides) under uncultured bacterium. RNAcentral's name for it is "SSU rRNA". It matches the Rfam family "Bacterial small subunit ribosomal RNA", at positions 26 to 518 of the family's 1533-position model. The record is from RNAcentral.
AGGACGAACGCUGGCGGCGUGCUUAACACAUGCAAGUCGAGCGGAAAGGCCCUUCGGGGUACUCGAGCGGCGAACGGGUGAGUAACACGUGAGUAAUCUGCCCCUAGCUCUGGGAUAGCUCCGGGAAACCGGGAUUAAUACCAGAUACGACCACUUUAGACAUCUUCUGUGGUGGAAAGAACUUCGGCUAGGGAUGAACUCGCGGCCUAUCAGCUUGUUGGUGAGGUAACGGCUCACCAAGGCGACGACGGGUAGCCGGCCUGAGAGGGCGACCGGCCACACUGGGACUGAGACACGGCCCAGACUCCUACGGGAGGCAGCAGUGGGGAAUAUUGCGCAAUGGGCGAAAGCCUGACGCAGCGACGCCGCGUGGGGAUGAAGGCCUUCGGUUGUAACCCCUUUCAGCAGGGACGAAGCGAAAGUGACGGUACCUGCAGAAGAAGCGCCGGCUAACUACGUGCCAGCAGCCGC